RNAcentral lists this unclassified non-coding RNA (336 nucleotides) under soil metagenome. RNAcentral describes it as "partial contains 5.8S ribosomal RNA, internal transcribed spacer 2, and large subunit ribosomal RNA". The stretch from base 1 to 120 matches the Rfam family "5.8S ribosomal RNA", at positions 35 to 154 of the family's 154-position model. The record is from RNAcentral.
GAUGAAGAACGCAGCGAAAUGCGAUAAGUAAUGUGAAUUGCAGAAUUCAGUGAAUCAUCGAAUCUUUGAACGCACAUUGCGCCCGCCAGUAUUCUGGCGGGCAUGCCUGUUCGAGCGUCAUUUCAACCAUCAAGCCCCCGGCUUGUGUUGGGGACCUGCGGCUGCCGCAGGCCCUGAAAAGCAGUGGCGGGCUCGCUGUCACAACGAGCGUAGUAGCAUACAUCUCGCUCUGGGCGUGCUGCGGGUUCCGGCCGUUAAACCACCUUCAUAACCCAAGGUUGACCUCGGAUCAGGUAGGAAGACCCGCUGAACUUAAGCAUAUCAAUAAGCGGAGGA